Equus caballus (horse) is the source of this 1184-nucleotide non-coding RNA. The record is from RefSeq and is a predicted model, not a curated record. NCBI's taxonomy places the organism in Eukaryota, Metazoa, Chordata, Mammalia, Perissodactyla, Equidae.
AAAGCUCUGAAGUUUAAUUGCUGUGGAUAACCAUCGAUCAUUGCUGGGCUGCCCCUGGGACGGUGGACUUUGAGAGAGGAGAAAACAAGCCCAGGCAGAGCAUCCUGCCCCUGGUCAUUGAUGGUAGAGCUGGUUCAGAGGAACACAUGCUGGUCCAAGUUCUGCCUUAGUAUUGCCAACUGUCUUUGGCAUCAGACUAGCUCAGCUGUGCAAGGAGAGAUCAAGGAAUGGAGCUGCUAUCCCCUUUUGGGCAGUGCACCCAUGGGGACCAUAUGGAGAUGGUAGAGAUCAUCCAGUAUGAAUAUCUCCACCUGGUAGGUGAAACAGAGACAGAGAAUCAGAGGCAGCACAAGCAAUAACCAUUUUUCUGGAUCUCUAUUCUGCUCAAAUGUUUGAAGUCUCUGUUUGGUGUUUUUAAAGGGUGUCUAUUAUCUUGUCUGUAAAGUAGUGAUUAAAAAGACCUAACUUACAGAAUUGAUGCUAGAAGUAAAUGGGAUAAAUGCAAAGUGUUUAGUAGAGCGUCUAGCACAUAGGUAGAACUUAAUAAAUGGUAGAGGGAAAUGAUAUCAGUAAUGGUUCCUGUUUUCCUGGAAGGUUAUAUCCAAUUGGGGACACAUACAAUAAACAUGGAAAAAUACAUAAAUGGUAACAGAAUGAGUAAGGGCUAGUUAUGAUGGAAGAAAUAGUCUAAUAGACAAUGAUUGGAAAUAAGGAGUCUGCUUUGGAUAGGGUGGUCAGGGGAAGCCAUUCUGGAGGUGACUUUUACUCUGAGACCAGAGAAGGAGAAGCUAGAACAGCGGGUGAGUGGCAUUCCAUGCGCAGGAAACAGAAAUUGCAAAGUCUGUGAGGCAGCGACGAGAUGAGAGCAGUUGGCAUGUGGACGCACAAGGGAGAAAACAGAGUGAAGGGAGGCCAGGCAAUUUUGAUUGUGCUUCAAGUUCUCACUACUCCAAGUGUGGUUCCGGCAUCACCUGGAGCCUGUUGGAAAUGCGGAAACUCCGGUACCACCCCAGACCUCCUAGCCAGAAUCUGCACUUUAACAAGAUCCUUGAGCGAUCCCUUUGUCCUUCUGAGAUAAGGAAGCACUGGUUUAGGAAGCUACUGGAAAGGUUAGGCAGCACAGUGGUGUGAUCUGCUUUAUAUUUUUAAAAGGAUCACUCCAGAGGCUAUGGUGGAAGUGGAUU